GAUGAACGCUGGCGGCGUGCUUAACACAUGCAAGUCGAACGGAAAGGCCGAAGCUUGCUUCGGUACUCGAGUGGCGAACGGGUGAGUAACACGUGGGUGAUCUGCCCUGUACUUCGGGAUAAGCUUGGGAAACUGGGUCUAAUACCGGAUAUGACGUUCUCCUGGAUGGGGUUGUGUAGAGCUUUUGCGGUAUGGGAUGGGCUCGCGGCUUAUCAGCUUGUUGGUGGGGUAGUGGCUUACCAAGGCUUUGACGGGUAGCCGGCCUGAGAGGGUGACCGGCCACAUUGGGACUGAGAUACGGCCCAGACUCCUACGGGAGGCAGCAGUGGGGAAUAUUGCACAAUGGGCGGAAGCCUGAUGCAGCAACGCCGCGUGCGGGAUGACGGCCUUCGGGUUGUAAACCGCUUUCGCCUGUGACGAAGCGUGAGUGACGGUAAUGGGUAAAGAAGCACCGGCUAACUACGUG
RNAcentral lists this ribosomal RNA (466 nucleotides) under uncultured bacterium. RNAcentral describes it as "partial 16S ribosomal RNA". It matches the Rfam family "Bacterial small subunit ribosomal RNA", at positions 28 to 507 of the family's 1533-position model. The record is from RNAcentral.